RNAcentral lists this ribosomal RNA (460 nucleotides) under uncultured bacterium. Its description in RNAcentral is "partial 16S ribosomal RNA". It matches the Rfam family "Bacterial small subunit ribosomal RNA", at positions 338 to 795 of the family's 1533-position model. The record is from RNAcentral.
CCUACGGGUGGCAGCAGUGAGGAAUAUUGGUCAAUGGACGAGAGUCUGAACCAGCCAAGUAGCGUGAAGGAUGACUGCCCUAUGGGUUGUAAACUUCUUUUAUAUGGGAAUAAAAUGUUCCACGUGUGGGAUUUUGUAUGUACCAUAUGAAUAAGGAUCGGCUAACUCCGUGCCAGCAGCCGCGGUAAUACGGAGGAUCCGAGCGUUAUCCGGAUUUAUUGGGUUUAAAGGGAGCGUAGGUGGAUUGUUAAGUCAGUUGUGAAAGUUUGCGGCGUAACCGUAAAAUUGCAGUUGAAACUGGCAGUCUUGAGUACAGUAGAGGUGGGCGGAAGUCGUGGUGUAGCGGUGAAAUGCUUAGAUAUCACGAAGAACUCCGAUUGCGAAGGCAGUUCACUGGACUGCAACUGACACUGAGGCUCGAAAGUGUGGGUAUCAAACAGGAUUAGAUACCCGAGUAGUC